UACGUAGGGGGCAAGCGUUGUCCGGAUUUAUUGGGCGUAAAGAGCUCGUAGGCGGCUCGGUAAGUCGGGUGUGAAACCUCCAGGCUCAACCUGGAGACGCCACCUGAUACUGCUGUGGCUAGAGUCCGGUAGGGGAGUGUGGAAUUCCUGGUGUAGCGGUGAAAUGCGCAGAUAUCAGGAAGAACACCCGUGGCGAAGGCGGCUCUCUGGGACGGUACUGACGCUGAGACGCGAAAGCGUGGGGAGCGAACAGG
RNAcentral lists this ribosomal RNA (254 nucleotides) under uncultured bacterium. Its description in RNAcentral is "partial 16S ribosomal RNA". It matches the Rfam family "Bacterial small subunit ribosomal RNA", at positions 524 to 776 of the family's 1533-position model. The record is from RNAcentral.